Molecule: ribosomal RNA, 440 nt
Filed under: uncultured bacterium
Lineage: Bacteria
Description: partial 16S ribosomal RNA
Rfam family: Bacterial small subunit ribosomal RNA
Source: RNAcentral
CCUACGGGAGGCAGCAGUGGGGGAUAUUGCACAAUGGGGGGAACCCUGAUGCAGCGACGCCGCGUGGGUGAAGAAGCGCCUCGGCGCGUAAAGCCCUGUCAGCAGGGAAGAAAAUGACGGUACCUGAAGAAGAAGCCCCGGCUAAAUACGUGCCAGCAGCCGCGGGAAUACGUAGGGGGCAAGCGUUAUCCGGAUUUACUGGGUGUAAAGGGGGCGCAGGCGGCGAUGCAAGCCAGGAGUGAAGGCCCGGGGCCCAACCCCGGGACUGCUCUUGGAACUGCGUGGCUGGAGUGCAGGAGGGGCAGGCGGAAUUCCUGGUGUAGCGGUGAAAUGCGUAGAUAUCAGGAGGAACACCGGUGGCGAAGGCGGCCUGCUGGACUGCAACUGACGUUGAGGCCCGAAAGCGUGGGGAGCAAACAGGAUUAGAUACCCCUGUAGUC